RNAcentral lists this ribosomal RNA (358 nucleotides) under uncultured bacterium. Its description in RNAcentral is "bacterial SSU rRNA". It matches the Rfam family "Bacterial small subunit ribosomal RNA", at positions 774 to 1122 of the family's 1533-position model. The record is from RNAcentral.
AGGAAAUAGAACCCGGGUAGUCCUGGCAGUAAACGGUGCGCGUUUGGUGUGGGAGGAUUCGACCCCUUCUGUGCCGGAGCUAAACGCGUUAAAAACGCGCCGCCUGGGGAGUACGGUCGCAAGAUUAAAACUCAAAGAAAUUGACGGGGCCCGGCACAAGCGGUGGAGUAUGUGGCUUAAUUCGAUGCAACGCGAAGAACCUUACCUAGCCUUGACAUGCAUCUCUAAAGUCGGUGAAAGCCGGCGAGUGUAGCAAUACACAAUUUGCACAGGUGCUGCAUGGCUGUCGUCAGCUCGUGUCGUGAGAUGUUGGGUUAAAGUCCCGCAACGAGCGCAACCCCUGUGAACUGUUGCCACC